Peromyscus maniculatus bairdii (prairie deer mouse) is the source of this 1984-nucleotide non-coding RNA. The record is from RefSeq and is a predicted model, not a curated record. Lineage: Eukaryota; Metazoa; Chordata; Mammalia; Rodentia; Cricetidae.
UUAAGAAGAUGUAGGUUGGUCUGACAAUUGCGGGGGCGGGGGAGGCUGCCCAGCGCGCCUUUGGGGAACGGAAGGUCAGUACCCCAAGAGGCAGAGCGGGAUAAUUCGACUGGGGGUGAGUUGCCACCGGUCCUGAACACCUUUCUGCUCACAGGUCCAUCACUGCUCCUGGCAGAGUCAUGGCCCCACAGUGGCUCCAUGAACAGCACAGAUAAACACUGCUUCAACGGGUCGGGAUGAUGAAGGGUCAGCAGGGGCUAAGCUAGAGAUGUGCCUGCAAGGUCCAUUGGCGCCUCCAUCUCCUCCACAUUACGGAGCGGCCUCCACUCCACCUCCCCGUGAGCUCCAGCCCCUCCGUGGCUGAUUCUAGAAGGCUCUACACAGAUGCCUCCUCUUCCUCACCCCUCACUCACUACCACAGCUCUCCCACAGCUCCUUCUAAGAAGCUGUCCAGCGUGUGUCCCAGUGAGUUUCCUCUGCAUCCCUUCUGACAUCCAGACCAUGCACAGAGGGCCAGAUGUGUCCCUAAUCCUGAGGCCUGGAUCACAGAGGCCUGUCUGUGAUAUGGAUAGUGGCUUUACAAGAAGAGACAGAAGAGCUUACUCAGUUCCCCUGACCUGUGACCUUCUAGGUCACAGGGCACCAGGUGAGAGAUGUGGACUAUCUCCAAACCAGGAAGAAAGCUCUCUCCACAGAAUCAUGUUGGCCCAAAUCUCCACCUUGACCUGAUCUUGGACUGCAACCUCCAGAGCUGUGAGAAAAUACAUUUCUGCUCCUGAAGGCACCCAGUCGACGGUAUUUUGUUAUAGUGACCCAAGCUGACAAAUGUGCACACAGGGAGGAAGCAAUCGAUGGUGUGUGUGCGCUGCACUUGCUCUAAGAACCUUCUUGACAGAUCUGGUUGUGUGCACCCUGGCUGAGUCGGUGUUCAGUAGCGUCGUGAGAUUGGCAGGAAAUCAGCCACAGUGAAGAAUUUGCAUCCCAGGAGCCAGCAAAAGCUACAAGUUUGGGCUCUUCUCUCCAGACGGAAGGUCGUUAAGUGUUUAUCUGUGACCGCAGUGGACUGGCACUUCUCCAGCCCUGCUUCCACUCACCCUGAUGGACCUCUAGCUUGUCUCCAAACUCUCAAGGCUGCAAAGAGCCCUGCAGUGCCAACCUCUCACACAGGUCCCCACACUCAAGGUAAAGGCUGCUGGGGAUGUUGAGUGCCAACCUCUCACACAGGUCCCCACACCCAAGGUAAAGGCUGCUGGGGAUGUGGAGGGAGGCUCUGGGCGACAGUGAAGUUCGUAUCUAACAUCUGCUUGUUGCCAUACUGAGAAACAGUGCCCUCCUGCUGCAGGGCAUGAGUCUCUGCCACAAGAACUCAUAGAAGAUGCUAAUCUUCACACAGUGAAAUUUAUCAGCGCUGUCAUUCGUAUAUGUCACCUUCUGUCUCCUGUUGGGUCGAUACUCUCCAUAUCUUGAGCUGUGAGGGAGGUCGACAGAGUGUGUUCUGUCCAUGUUCACAGGUGAAGACAUGUGUUGGAGGGUUGAUCCAUCUCAAGCACACUAUUCUGCAGUUGAAGAGGGACCAUGCUACCUAUUUCCCCACGUGGAGAACCUCGGGUCCAGACUAUCCGUUAACAAUACAGCCCUUCCCCACUCACCUAUGGCAUCACUUAUCUUCUGCACCAGAUCCCUGUACAGAUGUGGGUCAACCUCUGGACUCUGUUCUGUUCCAUUAAUCUUUUUGUCUGAGUCACAUGACAGUACCACCCUGCUUAGGUAGUAUAGCUUUAUAGCAGUCGAUGUCUGAUAGUCCACAAGACCAUUUUGGCUUUUCUUCAGCAUUAUCUUAGCUACUCCUGGGCUUUUACUCUUCUGCCUCAAUUCCUAACCAUUCGGAUCUCAUUACAGGUGCUUUUGAGGGGCUGGAAAGAUGGCUCAGUGGUUACAAGCACAUAUUGCUCUUGCAGAGGACCCGCAUUCAUUCAGUCCCAGC